Quercus robur (English oak) is the source of this 1406-nucleotide long non-coding RNA. RefSeq lists it as uncharacterized. The transcript is spliced from 3 exons. NCBI's taxonomy places the organism in Eukaryota, Viridiplantae, Streptophyta, Magnoliopsida, Fagales, Fagaceae. The record is from RefSeq and is a predicted model, not a curated record.
AACUCUCCCUAAUAAUACCCUUGACGAUGGCACUGUUUCUUCCACAUCCACCGACCCUCAACCCACCCAUCCCAUGAUCACCCGCUCCAAAAACUUAAUCACCAAACCCAAAACCUUCACCGACAGUACUGUGCGAUAUCCUGUUCCGAGUGCACUCCUCGCUGAUGGUAAUGCGUCCAUCGUUGAACCCACUUGUUUCACCACUACUUUGAAAGACUCCAAUGUCAUUGGAUGCAAAUGGGUAUGGGAUCUUGUUCCUCCUCACACUGCUCGCAAUGUCAUUGGAUGCAAAUGGGUAUUUCUGGUUAAGCGUAAUGCCGAUGGUUCCGUUGAACGCUAUAAAGCUCGCUUGGUGGCCAAAGGAUUUCAUCAGUUGCCUGGAAUUGACUUCAGAGAAACCUUCAGUCCUGUAAUCAAACCCACCACUGUCAGGACAGUUCUCUCUAUUGCUGUUUCAAGAGGCUGGGUCCUUCGCCAAUUUGAUGUUCAGAAUGCCUUCUUACAUGGCCAUCUAUUUGAAGAUGUUAUAUGUCUCAGCCUCAUGGAUUUGUUCACCCCUAAUUUCCUAACCAUGUUUGCAAGUUGAAGAAAGCUCUUUAUGGGUUGAAGCAGUCCCCUCGGGCUUGGUUCUCACAGCUCUCUUCUCACUUACUUGCUCUGGGCUUCAGAGGAUCGAGGCCACAGGAAGUAGUCAUAUUCAUUGUUGGAGGGACGACAUAUGAAGAGUCACGUUCUGUUGCUUUACAAAAUGCCAGCAAUUCUGGAAUUCGUUUUAUACUUGGUGGUUCUGUGGUUCUGAAUUCUAAGGGGUUUCUGAAAGACUUGGAAGAAGCUCAAAGGAAAGCUCAUUCUAGCACAGUAGUGAUUUGAAGCCCCAUCAUAUGUGUCUUGAGAGCCAAUAGAUAAUUUUUAUGGCUUUAUACGGAGCUUUUGACUUGGUGACUGGCAGUGGUAAGAUUGUUAAUGAAUAUUGGGAAGAGGAACUUGAUGAUCAUCAGAAUCAAUACAAUAUUCACCAAUUUGCAAAGGAAUAAAAAGUAAAUAGGUUUUUUGGAGACUAAACCCAUUACAUAUUGGAAUAUGAGAUAUUACUUAUACGCGGGAAACAAUUUGCAGAUAGCCUUAUUGCUUGUUUAACAACACUACCUUGCCUUGUGAACGAAAAUGUAAAAUCACAUACAAUUUUUUUUCUUUCUUUUUUGGAUUGUAUAGAUGCUUGAUUUAUCCUAGGUAGUUUUGUACUUGGACCAUAUUGUGAAAAGUUAUGGCUGAGCAUAUGGUUGAGCCAGGGCCAGGGGUUUAGUUUAUACUUUAGCAAUCAAUGUUCUGGUGAAAUGGGAAGUUUAUGAAUAUUUGUGUGUGCAUAAUUGGUAUUGAAACUUUUGCUAUUACAUAUAUUUUGAUCA